GGAGUGGUAGUUCAGUUUGGUUAGAAUGCCUGCCUGUCACGCAGGAGGUCGCGGGUUCGAGUCCCGUCCACUCCGCCA
Molecule: transfer RNA, 78 nt
Filed under: Gammaproteobacteria bacterium
Lineage: Bacteria; Pseudomonadati; Pseudomonadota; Gammaproteobacteria
Also listed under: 3 other names
Description: tRNA-Asp
Rfam family: tRNA
About the family: Transfer RNA (tRNA) molecules are approximately 80 nucleotides in length. Their secondary structure includes four short double-helical elements and three loops (D, anti-codon, and T loops). Further hydrogen bonds mediate the characteristic L-shaped molecular structure. tRNAs have two regions of fundamental functional importance: the anti-codon, which is responsible for specific mRNA codon recognition, and the 3' end, to which the tRNAs corresponding amino acid is attached (by aminoacyl-tRNA synthetases). tRNAs cope with the degeneracy of the genetic code in two manners: having more than one tRNA (with a specific anti-codon) for a particular amino acid; and 'wobble' base-pairing, i.e. permitting non-standard base-pairing at the 3rd anti-codon position.
Source: RNAcentral